AGCUUUAAACCUCACUUCUCGGGCUUCGAUCCAUAGGUCGGAACACUGUCUAUGUAAGGUACCGAACUUCUUAAAUUAUGAAGUUACGGUGGGAUGUAAUAUGCUGAAAUUUUAAUAUAAAAAUAAAUAUAAAUAAAAAUAGUGUGAGAUACUAUUUUAUUGGACUUAUAGACAUAAAAUAUAAGUCUGGAAUGACCCGUGUUGAAAUCGGAGCGAAAACAGAAGAUUUAGAAUUUUCUGUGUGAAACGGGGCAGAUAGAUUAGCAGAAAACGCAUAGUGUCAGAAAAUUCUGAAAACUGGAGGAUAAGCCAGAAUUAUUCUUAUGAGGCUAGAUUUAAAGUUUCGUAUUUUUCUGACACCCGUAGAGUGAGAAAUAAAAUCCGAAAGCCAUCUGAUAAAGAUUGCAGUUCGGCACAGUUUUCGGUGACCAAAUGGGGUCGAAACUGAAAGAUUAAAAUUUCUUUCGUUAAGUUAAGCAAAACCNAAAAUUCGAUAGUGAUCUGACAAAGAUUACAGUUCGGUACGGCUUUCGGUGACCAAACGGGGUCGAAACUGAAAGAUUAAAAUUUCUUUCGUUAAGUCAAGCAAAACCGAACAUGACUGUCAAAUUUGAGCUCAAACGGAUAUUCAGAGGG
Molecule: long non-coding RNA, 636 nt
Filed under: Ananas comosus (pineapple)
Lineage: Eukaryota; Viridiplantae; Streptophyta; Magnoliopsida; Poales; Bromeliaceae
Description: long non-coding RNA (ACOM_LNC000773)
Source: RNAcentral